RNAcentral lists this ribosomal RNA (363 nucleotides) under Pseudomonas aeruginosa. RNAcentral's name for it is "bacterial SSU rRNA". It matches the Rfam family "Bacterial small subunit ribosomal RNA", at positions 1 to 368 of the family's 1533-position model. The record is from RNAcentral. Lineage: Bacteria; Pseudomonadati; Pseudomonadota; Gammaproteobacteria; Pseudomonadales; Pseudomonadaceae.
AGGGGAGAGUUUGAUCCUGGCUCAGAUUGAACGCUGGCGGCAGGCCUAACACAUGCAAGUCGAGCGGAUGAAGGGAGCUUGCUCCUGGAUUCAGCGGCGGACGGGUGAGUAAUGCCUAGGAAUCUGCCUGGUAGUGGGGGAUAACGUCCGGAAACGGGCGCUAAUACCGCAUACGUCCUGAGGGAGAAAGUGGGGGAUCUUCGGACCUCACGCUAUCAGAUGAGCCUAGGUCGGAUUAGCUAGUUGGUGGGGUAAAGGCCNNNCAAGGCGACGAUCCGUAACUGGUCUGAGAGGAUGAUCAGUCACACUGGANUUGAGACACGGUCCAGACUCCUACGGGAGGCAGCAGUGGGGAAUAUUGGA